CCAUAUGGUCGACCUGCAGGCGGCCGCGAAUUCACUAGUGAUUAGAGUUUGAUCAUGGCUCAGAUUGAACGCUGGCGGCAUGCCUUACACAUGCAAGUCGAACGGCAGCACGGGAGCAAUCCUGGUGGCGAGUGGCGAACGGGUGAGUAAUACAUCGGAACGUGCCCAAUCGUGGGGGAUAACGCAGCGAAAGCUGUGCUAAUACCGCAUACGAUCUACGGAUGAAAGCAGGGGACCGUAAGGCCUUGCGCGAAUGGAGCGGCCGAUGGCAGAUUAGGUAGUUGGUGAGGUAAAGGCUCACCAAGCCUUCGAUCUGUAGCUGGUCUGAGAGGACGACCAGCCACACUGGGACUGAGACACGGCCCAGACUCCUACGGGAGGCAGCAGUGGGGAAUUUUGGACAAUGGGCGAAAGCCUGAUCCAGCAAUGCCGCGUGCAGGAUGAAGGCCUUCGGGUUGUAAACUGCUUUUGUACGGAACGAAACGGCUCUUUCUAAUAACGAGAGCUAAUGACGGUACCGUAAGAAUAAGCACCGGCUAACUACGUGCCAGCAGCCGCGGUAAUACGAAUCGAAUUCCCGCGGCCGCCAUGG
This 592-nucleotide ribosomal RNA is filed under the name uncultured beta proteobacterium. Its description in RNAcentral is "bacterial SSU rRNA". It matches the Rfam family "Bacterial small subunit ribosomal RNA", at positions 1 to 550 of the family's 1533-position model. Lineage: Bacteria; Pseudomonadati; Pseudomonadota; Betaproteobacteria. The record is from RNAcentral.